AAUAUCCUUUUAACAAAUUAUGCGUAUUUAAGGAGAUACGGCUGCGCAUGCGCAGAACGUAUCUCCUUACCUUUGUACUUUUUGGUAAGAAGAUGUUAACAAAGUUGUUUGUCUUGAUGAGGGCUACAACUUUGCUUAAUAUCCUUUUAACAAAUUAUGCGUAUUUAAGAAGAUAGGUCCGCGCAUGCGCAGUAAGUAACUCCUUACGCUUGCAUUUUUUGGUAAGACGAUGUU
Paramuricea clavata is the source of this 234-nucleotide non-coding RNA. The record is from the annotation of a GenBank genome assembly. NCBI's taxonomy places the organism in Eukaryota, Metazoa, Cnidaria, Anthozoa, Malacalcyonacea, Plexauridae.